CCUACGGGCGGCAGCAGUGGGGGAUAUUGCACAAUGGGCGGAAGCCUGAUGCAGCGACGUCGCGUGAGGGAUGGAGGCCUUCGGGUUGUGAACCUCUUUCGCCGGUGAAGAAGGUCCUGCUUUUUGGGUGGGGUUGACGGUAGCCGGGUUAUGAAGCGCCGGCUAACUACGUGCCAGCAGCCGCGGUAAUACGUAGGGCGCGAGCGUUGUCCGGAAUUAUUGGGCGUAAAGGGCUUGUAGGCGGCUGGUCGCGUCUGCCGUGAAAUCCUCUGGCUCAGCUGGGGGCGUGCGGUGGGUACGGGCUGGCUUGAGUGCGGUAGGGGAGGCUGGAACUCCUGGUGUAGCGGUGGAAUGCGCAGAUAUCAGGAGGAACACCGGUGGCGAAGGCGGGUCUCUGGGCCGUUACUGACGCUGAGGAGCGAAAGCGUGGGGAGCGAACAGGAUUAGAUACCCGGGUAGUC
Molecule: ribosomal RNA, 461 nt
Filed under: uncultured Actinomyces sp.
Lineage: Bacteria; Bacillati; Actinomycetota; Actinomycetes; Actinomycetales; Actinomycetaceae
Description: bacterial SSU rRNA
Rfam family: Bacterial small subunit ribosomal RNA
Source: RNAcentral